Molecule: long non-coding RNA, 1644 nt
Filed under: Panax ginseng (ginseng)
Lineage: Eukaryota; Viridiplantae; Streptophyta; Magnoliopsida; Apiales; Araliaceae
Description: long non-coding RNA (PGIN_LNC000678)
Source: RNAcentral
UUUUUUUGGACCUAUUAAGAUCCAAUCCCUUACACAAUGCAACAAAAAACUAUAGAACUUAACGAUAGUAAUGUUGGAAUUAUAUAUUAGCAGCAGUCACAAUAACAGUACCAAUAGCAGAGCAAUAACAGUACCAAUAGCAGCUCAAUAUCAGCAACAAGAGCAGUACUAACAAGACUAGGAAAUCAGAAAAAUUAGAACAACUUAGCUGUUUAGAAACGAGAGCCGGGGCGUAGCAAAGCUACUGUCCUAAAAAUUGAUUCCGCCCUCACUGGUUGUUAACCUUUGAUACAAAUGAGCUCCAAUGGCGUUCACCCUCCAGGAUUCAACGGCAAGCCUUCGAUUGCGUGUACUCGCAGAAGAAAGCUAUGGACUUGUCUUUGUGGAUUGCCCAGAAUAUACGAACAAAACAGAACAGAAGAGAAGGAAGACUGUUUGUGCGAUUGUUUUUGUGUUAAAACUGUAAGAGAAAAGAGCAUCAUACACUGUUAUAUAUAUGCAGAGAAGAAAAAUAGAAGAACGUUGGGAAAGCAACGAGAAGAAGAUCGAGGGAAUCAGUAACGUAAAAUAUAACGUUUUUGGAACUAAAUAAAGCUUUUUACGUUUUGGGGAAAAACGGCUAGGGCAUUGAAGCUAGAACAUAGCAUAAAAAGAAAUUAGGGAUUUAACCAAAACAGUGGGCUACCUCUAGGUGCACCUGCGAAGCACAAUUUUCUGGAUCGACAAUCCCCCCUGCGCGGGCGUAGCGCGCGCACACACUAAGGUUUUCUGACCGAAAGUCCGAGAAUCACCUCUAGGUGCACCUGCGAAGCACAAUUUUCUGGAUCGACAAUCCCCCCUGCGCGGGCGUAGCGCGCGCACACACUAAGGUUUUCUGACCGAAAGUCCGAGAAUCACCUCUAGGUGCACCUGCGAAGCACAAUUUUCUGGAUCGACAAUCCCCCCUGCGCGGGCGUAGCGCGCGCACACACUAAGGUUUUCUGACCGAAAGUCCGAGAAUCAGAGAAUCAAGCUUGGCCUCGCUCAAUUCCUUAGCCGUCCUCAUGUGCGCGAGCCCAUCCCUAUUUCCUCAACCAUGUUACUAAGCCCAUAACAACAAGUACUAAUAUGCACUAUGAGAGUUCCAAGAAUAGCCAAUGUGGGACUUUGCAAAAAAACAUAAGAUUUUUGAGCAUAACCAACAAUCCCCCACAUGAUCCAAAAUUAUCAAAGAGAUAAAAAUUAAAAGGAAGUGAGAAGGGCAAUGGAUUUUAGAUACAUAAUGUCGAUACCUUAUGGGUUUGAAUUGACACUUAGUAGAACAAACUCAUGAUUGUAGAUUAUAGGUGAAUUAAAUUCUUGAACCUAUUAUCUGUGAUACAAUCAAUUGAGAUUGCAUACAUUUCUUAAAUUCUGAAUCCACACAAGUCCGCGGUUGGGCACGUUCUAGGCCAUGCGCCAUGUCCCAGAUUUUCAUAAAGGCUCUAGAGAGUUUGCCAAGGACUCUCAUAGGAAGCGGCCUACACUUCCACCUUUAUAUAGGUGAACCCAUCAAGUGUAUACUGACAUACACCACCCUUUAGGGGCUAUGAGUUUCAUUAAGAAUCUAAACGAUUCAUCCUUUCACAAUUUGUCAGUAAGCACCACAUGCACACAAGAAGGGAU